CCUACGGGAGGCAGCAGUGAGGAAUAUUGGUCAAUGGGCGCUAGACUGACCCAGCCAAGUAGCGUGAAGGAUGACUGCCCUAUGGGUUGUAAGCUUCUUUUAUAUGGGAAUAAAGUGCAGUAUGUAUACUGCUUUGCAUGUACCUUAUGAAUAAGGAUCGGCUAACUCCGUGCCAGCAGCCGCGGUAAUACGGAGGAUCCGAGCGUUAUCCGGAUUUAUUGGGUUUAAAGGGAGCGUAGGCGGGUUGUUAAGUCAGUUGUGAAAGUUUGCGGCUCAACCGUAAAAUUGCAGUUGAUACUGGCAUCCUGGAGUACAGUAGAGGUAGGCGGAAUUCGUGGUGUAGCGGUGAAAUGCUUAGAUAUCACGAAGAACUUCGAUUGCGAAGGCAGCCUGCUGGACUGUAACUGACGCUGAUGCUCGAAAGUGUGGGUAUCAAACAGGAUUAGAUACCCUAGUAGUC
This 460-nucleotide ribosomal RNA is filed under the name uncultured bacterium. RNAcentral's name for it is "partial 16S ribosomal RNA". It matches the Rfam family "Bacterial small subunit ribosomal RNA", at positions 338 to 795 of the family's 1533-position model. The record is from RNAcentral.